This 396-nucleotide ribosomal RNA is filed under the name uncultured bacterium. RNAcentral describes it as "partial 16S ribosomal RNA". It matches the Rfam family "Bacterial small subunit ribosomal RNA", at positions 523 to 918 of the family's 1533-position model. The record is from RNAcentral.
AUACGUAGGUGACAAGCGUUAUCCGGAUUUACUGGGCGUAAAGGGCGUGUAGGCGGUCUUGCAAGUCAGAAGUGAAAUUCCUGAGCUCAACUCGGGCGCUGCUUCUGAAACUGCAGGACUUGAGUGCUGGAGGGGAUAGCGGAAUUCCUAGUGGAGCGGCAAAAUGCGCAGAUAUUAGGAAGAACACCGGUGGCGAAGGCGGCUAUCUGGACAGUAACUGACGCUGAGGCUCGAAAGCGUGGGGAGCAAACAGGAUUAGAUACCCUGGUAGUCCACGCUGUAAACGAUGAUUACUAGGUGUUGGGGACCAAAGGUCCUCGGUGCCGCCGCAAACGCAUUAAGUAAUCCACCUGGGGAGUACGUUCGCAAGAAUGAAACUCAAAUGAAUUGGCGGGG